Molecule: ribosomal RNA, 440 nt
Filed under: uncultured bacterium
Lineage: Bacteria
Description: partial 16S ribosomal RNA
Rfam family: Bacterial small subunit ribosomal RNA
Source: RNAcentral
CCUACGGGAGGCAGCAGUAGGGAAUAUUGCUCAAUGGGGGAAACCCUGAACCAGCCACGCCGCGUGAAGGAUGACGGUUUUCGGAUUUUAAACUCCUUUUGUUCGAGAAGCUAAUGACGCUAUCUAACGGAUAAGCACCGGCUAACUCCGUGCCAGCAGCCGCGGGAAUACGGAGGGUGCAAGCGGUACUCGGAAUAACUGGGCGUAAAGAGCGCGUAGGCGGGAUAGCAAGUCAGAUGUGAAAUCCUAUGGCUUAACCAUAGAACUGCAUUUGAAACUGUUAUUCUAGAGUAUGGGAGAGGGAGGUGGAAUUCUUGGUGUAGCGGUAAAAUCCGUAGAGAGCAAGAAGAAUACUCAUUGCGAAGGCGACCUGCUAGAACAUAACUGACGCUGAUGCGCGAAAGCGUGGGGAGCAAACAGGAUUAGAUACCCCAGUAGUC